AUGAAUGAAUUCUUUGUAAUGAAUUCUUUUCUCUUUCAAUUCCAUAAGAAUUAGUAUCACUUACAGAAUUAUGUAUGACUCAUUAAAUUCCAAAUAGCUAAGCUGACAUGUGUAAGGCAUUGCCAGAAAAUCCUGCCUUUAGGGAAGCAAUAACCGAGUUGUCAAAAAGUCAACAGUUACCUAACCGCCCUGGGAAACACAAUGAAGUUUUGGCAGUUAGGCUGCUGAGGGAAGACUUGGUUUGCCCAGGCUUUCUGUGGUAACUUCCUCCUCUAGUGGGAGAAACUGCCAGUAAAGGAAGAAUGACAAUUUACAUACCAAGGCAAGGCUAAUCUGCCUUGUGUGUUAGUCACAGCCUGCCUACUUGAGACAUCCUGGGAAAUCCCUAGCUGACUCCAGGAAAAACGGCUUCUGUGGCACAUUUUGUCCCGAGCACAAGUAGAAUGAGUGGUGCAGAAAGUUCUACAGAGCAUGCAGAGUGUGCUCAAUCGUCUAGAAGAAAGAAUUUAAAUUCUCUUGAACAAAAGAUACGGUCCCUGGAAAAACAGAGAAAAGAGCUCCUGGAAGUUAACCAGCAAUGGGAUCAGCAAUUUAGAAGUAUGAAAGAGUUAUAUGAAAAAAAGGUCGCAGAGCUGAAAACGAAAUUGGAUGCAGCAGAAAAAGUCCUGGGCACGCUGGAGAAAGAGCAGCAGCCAAGUUUGAGAGAGAGCGGCGCACGGAGCGACCAGACCUGGGAGAAGCUGCGUGAGGAGAAGGAAAAGGAGAGCCUAAGCGAAGAAUUACAUGAAUUGAAGAAAGAAAAUAAGCUGUUGAAGGAAAAAAAUGUUCUGGCAAACCAGAAGAAGCAAUGUUAUGAAUAUGAAAUAAAACGCCUCAAUAAGGCUCUUCAGGAUGCCUUGAAAUUAGAAAGUUCUUCGUCUCCUGAAGACUGUUUGGGGAAGUGUGAAAUGGAGUGCAGCCAUGAGGAGAUGAAAACAGAAAUGGAAGUUCUCAAACAGCAGGUGAGAAUUUGAAAGUGGCAUGAUUGUGCGGUGAAUUUAGGUCCGUUGUUCAUGCUGUUUUCGACAUUUCUAGCAGUCCUGCUAUUCAAAAUGUGCCGAAGAUUUUUUCAUGUGUUUUAAUGAGAAUUACCUAAUUUUAAAGCUUGAUGGAAAAAUAUAGAUCAACUAGCCCAACUCUCACACUUUAUAAAUGAGAAAAUUGAGUUUCAGUUGGGUUAAGUGGCUUGCCCAAGAUCACACACUUAAAAGAGGGGCAAUCUAAUUAACCUUUUGGUGAGAUUCUAUUAGCACUGAGUCUAGAGAGUCUCAUGUAGACACAAUUUAUUUUGAAGAUGCUAUUAACCCAAACUCUGGACCUUUUCAGAAAAUGGUAGUAGCUGGGCUGUUAUUCAGUAGCUACAGGCCUCCAGGCUUUUGAACAGUGAGGGCAGUUUUCAAGGGAAUACUCUGCUCUGAUGACUGAAGAGCCAGAUUUGUUCAUCUACCCUUACAUACUGUUGGUACAGCCUAGGAAUUUAUUGAUGCACAAUGGCUUCCUCUUUCCCACUCACCCAGCUUCACUGACUGUUGCCAAGUGCACAGCAAGAGUAAGGGAUGUUCUCUCUACACUUCUGCACAUGUCAACAGCAUAGGGUUGUGGAGAUAGAACAUACUUGAGUCUAAAUUUAGUUCAGCCAGCUGGAGCUAGCUUAGCUUAGGGACCACCCAUCAUAUCACAUCUCUUUUCCUAAGAGAGCUUAAAUAAGCUAAUGUAGGUAAAGGGCUAGAACAACUCAUGGUGAUAUAGAUAAAUACAGAAAAUAUAAAAAUUCCAGUCUCUGAAGCAUACAUUGUCAGUAAUACAUUAGCAGUGAGGGAGAGGGUGUCAUAUAACAAAACUUGGAAAGUACUAUUUUCUGAUGUCCCUGGGUAUGACUUGGCUGUUUUGCUCUGAUCAAGUUCCAGUUACAAGGAUUCAUGAUGCAAUACAUGGAAGUAUUGAGCAAUUGUGAUAUUGUUGUUACUCACUUUAUUAUUACUUCAUAGGAAGUAAUCUAUAAAUCUAAAAAAUUCAGAGCAUUUGAUUUAAAGUUGAUUUUUUUUCUUCUAUCAACCCCAUUUGAAUAAUCUGCUUCAUUACACUCAGGAUCAAAUAUAUAGCUUAAAUAAAUCCAUGGAGAGAAUAAGGUUAUAGUCAGAACAUCAAAUCUCUGCCAAAUUCUCAACCCCUAAAGUACCAUUGGCACUAGCCAGGAUUCCUCUGAAAAAAGUACUGCUUACAUUCAAACACUUGAGUCAUCUUCAAUGCUCUCACGUAACAUAUACCACAUGCCAGAAAAUUGCUCUUAAACAUGGUGUGCCUGCUUACACAUGCUCUUUACAGUAAUGGUUUAGUUCAUAUUCGAUACAAACAAUGGCAGGUUUUCUUUUUUUCAUAAUCCCCAGGAGUAGACCAGAAUCAAUUUCCUUAGUUUUUGUGUGGCUCUUUUGCUUACUUUUUACAUUCGCAUUUUAACUGUGUACAUUUCUAAUUGAACACCUACAAUCAUUAUAUCACCAAUGCUGCAUAAAACCCUAAAGGAUUUAAAUUCACAAAGAAACUGAACUAGAAUCUUGGCCACCUAAGUGAUGACAUCGCUCUCAGUGUUGUGUUUGAUAGAGUGUUCUGUUCUAAUCAGAUGGGCUUCUCCCACUUCAAAUGCCUCUGGUAAUUAUUUACAGAGCCUUGGUUUAACUCAUCUGGAUUUGAACCUCAGCUCUCAAUCAAAAAACAAAAAACAAAACAGAGCAAAAGGUCAGCUUGGCUGGGUAAAUUCCCUUGCAACACUUCUGCCAAAUAAAAGCCUUAAAAUUAAUAAGUAUAUAUAUAAAAUCUGCCUCUAGGGUCAGGUAAAAUGUUUAAUUUCUUCCUCUCUUGGCUAUUACAUUUGGUCUUGUUAUUAUUGACUUAAAUUGGAUAAUCAUUUAGUUAAAAUUUGUUGCACUGUUAGCAAUGAUGGUAUAAUGUGCAUUAAUGUUAAUAGACAAAAUCUAGCUGCUGAGUUCCCAUGUAAGUUGUAAUUUAAAUCUGGUUUUAGAGGAAUUCCUUUGUCUCAUUCCUUAAACUUCAUUGUGUUCAUAACUCUGCAUUCUAGUCUCCAGGCCAUCAGUCAACACUAUGCCAAUUAAAACAACAAUAAUUAAAUCUGGGGGUUUUUUUUGUUUUGUUUUGUUCUGAUUUGAUUACUUUUCCGGAAUAUUUGGAGUCCCUCUCAAAAGGCAUUACUUCUUUUUUAAUGAUACACCCCCACAAUUGCUUAUAAAGGGCAACUCUGUUGAACAUAUUUCAACAAACAUGCUCUGCUUUCCCAUGUAUAUGAGCCUUUCAUUUCUAUCUUCUGCUCAGCUUAUAAGUUAUAUUUAGAAACUUGGGCAUGCCGAUAUUUAGUGGCUUCACUUAACAGCUAUUGUCAGUAAACUGUCUUUAAGAACUUCAAGCAGUAUUCAUACAUCAAAGCCUUGUUUUAAGGACGGAUGAUUUGCCCAAAACUGUGACAACACUGGGGAGGGGGAGGGGAGAGUGGAGUGAGGUGUCAUGAAAUAGAGGUGAGGGGAAUUUUUUUCUCAAAGUAUCCAUGUUAUUAUUUUACUUCUGAAUUCCUGAUACAUGCUCAAGGAGGAAAACAUUGCAAACUUCCCUCCUGGACAAAGUGAAAAAAUAAAAUUAUAGCCAUAUGUAUCAAGGUGGAGUCCCCCCCUUGAAGAAAUAUUCAUGAAAACAGGACAGGAGUAUCUCAGAUUGGACAAACCCAGGUAACACUUCUUCUGAACUCAUUUAAAUUACUUAAGAGAAAAGGAAGCUAAAAGUAACAGCAAGUUAAUAUUUCUUAGGUACAAAUAUAUGAAGAAGACUUCAAAAAGGAGCGAUCAGACCGAGAAAGACUUAAUCAAGAAAAAGUGGAACUACAGAAAAUUAAUCAAACUUCUCAAUCCCAGCUGAACAAGCUGAAUUCUCAGAUAAAAGCUUGUAAGAUGGAGAAAGAAAAACUAGAAAGGCAGUUAAAACAGAUGUAUUUCCCAACCUGUAAUUGCGGCUGGAAUUUCCAUCUGCGGGAUCCAUGUGUACCAACAGGUCCUGGGGCUGUGCAGGAUCUACAAAAGCACCCACCAGACUAUCGGUGGUAUGCUCCUGACCAAUUUCCGCCAGAUGUGCAGCACAAGGCAAAUGCUUUCUCCUCAGAAAAGAAAGCCAAUCAGUAGAAGCACACCAGUGGAGGAGCACAGAGGCCAAGGGAGCCCUUGGCCCGAGGCCCUCGUUCUUCUCUCUACUGUGGUCUGUGUCUGCACAUCGUCUACUCCACCAUUUGCGCUGGUAAUGUUUCCCUUUGGCAUGGAUGGAGGAUAAGGCUGUGACAGCUGAGAUCCUGACCAAGUCUGAGGAGGCGGAAUCUCACAACCUCAUAACAUCAGUUUCCUCGAAAUGAGAUUUGACAGAUGGAUUAUGGGCCUUUCCUAGAAACUCUCUUCAGCAUAUUGCUAUUGGAUUUUCAGGGAUGACUUCAUGAUUUCAGCCACUCCACUUGAAGUGCAGUGAUAUUGUAUGUUGAUUUAAAUAUAUGUUCCCUGGGGGAAAAGUUUUUGCAGUUGUAAAAUUUUAACAUUGCUCCCAUUAUUUUUAUAGGGGCAUAGUUCUUUAGUCAGUUUAACUCGAUGCCACUAUGUUCGUCAUUGUUGGCCUUAGUGAACUGUAAAUAGAACUGAAGAGAUGUAUGUACUUCACCUCUAUACUAAAUGAGUGGUUAAAUCUGUAUAAAAUGGUAAACUUGAAACUAUUCUUUAAACAAAUCAUUUCUUUAAGAUGAGAAAUUGUGAGCAUACCUCAUUUUUAGGUGAACUAGAUUGUGAAAGAUAAAAUCCUUAUGUGAUGGUGAUAGCUUUGCUGUGUACAUGUAUACUCACAGAAGUAGUUCAGAGAUAGAUGGAUUUGCAUUAAAUCUAUGUUUUUUCUUCCU
This is a non-coding RNA of Sus scrofa (pig), 4972 nucleotides long. Lineage: Eukaryota; Metazoa; Chordata; Mammalia; Artiodactyla; Suidae. The record is from RefSeq and is a predicted model, not a curated record.